AUUGAACGCUGGCGGAAUGCUUUACACAUGCAAGUCGAACGGCAGCACGGGAGCUUGCUCCUGGUGGCGCGUGGCGAACGGGUGAGUAACAUAUCGGAACGUACCCUGUCGUGGGGGAUCACUAUCCGACAGGAUAGCUAAUACCGCAUACGUCCUGAGGGAGAAAGCGGGGGAUCGCGAGACCUCGCGAGCAUGGAGCGGCCGAUCUCGGAUUAGCUAGUUGGUGGGGUAAAGGCUCACCAAGGCGACGAUCCGUAGCGGGUCUGAGAGGACGAACCGCCACACUGGAACUGAGACACGGUCCAGACUCCUACGGGAGGCAGCAGUGGGGAAUUUUGGACAAUGGGGGCAACCCUGAUCCAGCCAUUCCGCGUGAGUGAAGAAGGCCUUCGGGUUGUAAAGCUCUUUCAGCAGGAACGAAACGGUCGGCUUUAAUAAAAUCGGCUAUUGACGUUACCUGCAGAAGAAGCACCGGCUAACUACGUG
This 486-nucleotide ribosomal RNA is filed under the name uncultured bacterium. RNAcentral describes it as "partial 16S ribosomal RNA". It matches the Rfam family "Bacterial small subunit ribosomal RNA", at positions 30 to 507 of the family's 1533-position model. The record is from RNAcentral.